ACGGGAAGAGCCCAAACCAACAAGCUUGCUUGUUGGGGUUGUAGGACACUCUAUACGGAGUUACAAAGGACGACAUUAGACGAAUCAUCUGGAAAGAUGAAUCAAAGAAGGUAAUAAUCCUGUAGUCGAAAAUGUUGUCUCUCUUGAGUGGAUCCUGAGUACGACGGAGCACGUGAAAUUCCGUCGGAAUCUGGGAGGACCAUCUCCUAAGGCUAAAUACUCUCUAGUGACCGAUAGUGAACCAGUACCGUGAGGGAAAGGUGAAAAGCACCCCGGAAGGGGAGUGAAAUAGAACCUGAAACCGUGUGCUUACAAGUAGUCAGAGCCCGUUAAUGGGUGAUGGCGUGCCUUUUGUAGAAUGAACCGGCGAGUUACGAUUUGAUGCAAGGUUAAGCAGUAAAUGUGGAGCCGUAGCGAAAGCGAGUCUGAAUAGGGCGUUUAGUAUUUGGUCGUAGACCCGAAACCAGGUGAUCUACCCUUGGUCAGGUUGAAGUUCAGGUAACACUGAAUGGAGGACCGAACCGACUUACGUUGAAAAGUGAGCGGAUGAACUGAGGGUAGCGGAGAAAUUCCAAUCGAACCUGGAGAUAGCUGGUUCUCUCCGAAAUAGCUUUAGGGCUAGCCUCAAGUGAUGAUUAUUGGAGGUAGAGCACUGUUUGGACGAGGGGCCCCUCUCGGGUUACCGAAUUCAGACAAACUCCGAAUGCCAAUUAAUUUAACUUGGGA
RNAcentral lists this ribosomal RNA (726 nucleotides) under Staphylococcus aureus. Its description in RNAcentral is "partial 23S ribosomal RNA". It matches the Rfam family "Bacterial large subunit ribosomal RNA", at positions 258 to 982 of the family's 2925-position model. The record is from RNAcentral. Lineage: Bacteria; Bacillati; Bacillota; Bacilli; Caryophanales; Staphylococcaceae.